Molecule: ribosomal RNA, 305 nt
Filed under: uncultured bacterium
Lineage: Bacteria
Description: bacterial SSU rRNA
Rfam family: Bacterial small subunit ribosomal RNA
Source: RNAcentral
UCCUACGGGAGGCAGCAGUGAGGAAUAUUGGUCAAUGGGCGAGAGCCUGAACCAGCCAGGUCGCGUGAGGGAAGACGGUCCUAUGGAUUGUAAACCUCUUUUGCCGGGGAGCAAAAAGCGGUACGUGUACCGCAUCGAGAGUACCCGGAGAAAAAGCAUCGGCUAACUCCGUGCCAGCAGCCGCGGUAAUACGGAGGAUGCGAGCGUUAUCCGGAUUUAUUGGGUUUAAAGGGUGCGUAGGCGGGCUGUUAAGUCAGCGGUCAAAUGUCGGGGCUCAACCCCGGCCUGCCGUUGAAACUGGCGGC